CGUUUUUGCCACUUGAGCUUUAAUCAGAUGUUUACAUUUGAUGCUAUUAGAAAGUCUCUGAAUGCUGAUGAAGAUCACGAAACGUAAUGUGAUUUUUAAUGAUCAAAUAAAAAGAGCUUAACACCAUGAUGUGUGCUCAUGUGCAUUUAUCACCAGUAAGAUUGCUGUGAAUCUUGAGUGUAUCGAACUCUUGCUGGGAUUGAUGAGUUAACGCGGGUUUGGUUGUUUCUCAGGGAUGGACGGGCCGGGAUGCAGCAACAUGAACCGCAUGAGUGGGAUAGGCGGAGGCUUCUCCGGAAUGGACUGCAUGGGUGGAAUGGGAGGAUUCGGUGGCAGAGACAUGGGCCGAAUGGGAGAUGUGUAUCGCUCUGGAAUGGGAGGAAUGGACAGAGACUUCGGCAGAAGGGACAUGGAGAUGAACCGCCCGUUCGGAGACUCGU
Sinocyclocheilus grahami is the source of this 440-nucleotide long non-coding RNA. RefSeq lists it as uncharacterized. NCBI's taxonomy places the organism in Eukaryota, Metazoa, Chordata, Actinopteri, Cypriniformes, Cyprinidae. The record is from RefSeq and is a predicted model, not a curated record. The transcript has 3 exons.